RNAcentral lists this unclassified non-coding RNA (247 nucleotides) under Spizellomycetales sp. RNAcentral describes it as "partial internal transcribed spacer 2". The record is from RNAcentral. Lineage: Eukaryota; Fungi; Chytridiomycota; Chytridiomycetes; Spizellomycetales. RNAcentral also lists the same sequence under 1 other name.
UAAAUCUCACAAUCCGGAUGUGCCCUCGGGCAUAUCUUGGAGAGUGGAUGUGUGCGAUCUUGCCUUUUUCAUUUCGAUGGGAAGGGCAAUCGCUUCAAAAUGAUUGUGUGUGUACGUCGAUUUACAGCAAUCGGUUCAAACUCAGUGCAACAGAUAAUGGAACACUUUGUUUGGCUGACUGCGUAUCCGGCAUGCGCGCCCUCUUCCUGUAACAGGGCUGAAUGCAAGUCUUGCAAUCAGCUUUGAA